UUUCUUAACUACUGAGAGCUAUUAUUAAACACCCCUUUCUUAGCAAAAUAGAAGUGGGCAUAUGUGUGACAAACAGAA
Molecule: small nucleolar RNA, 78 nt
Filed under: Mustela putorius furo (domestic ferret)
Lineage: Eukaryota; Metazoa; Chordata; Mammalia; Carnivora; Mustelidae
Description: Small nucleolar RNA SNORA41 (ENSMPUG00000022993.1)
Source: RNAcentral